UACGUAGGUGGCAAGCGUUAUCCGGAAUUACUGGGCGUAAAGCGCACGCAGGCGGCGCAUCAAGUUCGACGUGAAAGCUCCCGGCUUAACUGGGAGAGGUCGUUGAAGACUGAUGUGCUUGAGGCAAGGAGAGGGGUGUAGAAUUCCCGGUGUAGUGGUGGAAUGCGUAGAUAUCGGGGGGAAUACCAGUGGCGAAAGCGGCACCCUAGCCUUAGCCUGACGCUCAUGUGCGAAAGCGUGGGGAGCGAACGGGAUUAGAUACCCCCGUAGUCC
This 273-nucleotide ribosomal RNA is filed under the name uncultured bacterium. RNAcentral's name for it is "partial 16S ribosomal RNA". It matches the Rfam family "Bacterial small subunit ribosomal RNA", at positions 524 to 796 of the family's 1533-position model. The record is from RNAcentral.